Molecule: unclassified non-coding RNA, 263 nt
Filed under: plant metagenome
Description: partial contains small subunit ribosomal RNA, internal transcribed spacer 1, and 5.8S ribosomal RNA
Source: RNAcentral
UUUCCGUAGGUGAACCUGCGGAUGGAUCAUUAUUGUAGAACCGAGGUGCGAGGGCUGUCGAUGACCCGAAUGGUCCUGCAAGCCCGAGUGCCAGCACACUCGUCCAUCUUACCCCUACUUGCACCACCGCGUGGGUCCCGCUUUGGCUUGUUCGGAGGGGGGCUUACGUUUUCACACAAACUUUGUAUGCAGUGUAGAAUGUAUUUUUUGUUUUUGCGAUCACGCAAUCAAUACAACUUUCAACAACGGAUCUCUUGGCUCUC